AGCGAACGCUGGCGGCGUGCUUAACACAUGCAAGUCGAACGUGAAAUGUAGCAAUACAGAGUAAAGUGGCGUACGGGUGAGUAACACGUGGGUAAUCUACCAAAGUGUCUGGAAUAACCGAUCGAAAGGUUGGCUAAUACUGGAUAGUUCAAGCUUGUUAUAAUGGCAAGAUUGGGAAAGGGGAGCUGGCAACAGCCUUCGCAUUUUGAUGAGCUCGCGUCUGAUUAGUUAGUUGGUAAGGUAAUGGCUUACCAAGACGAAGAUCAGUAGCUGGUCUGAGAGGAUGAUCAGCCACACUGGAACUGAAACACGGUCCAGACUCCUACGGGAGGCAGCAGUGGGGAAUCUUGCGCAAUGGACGAAAGUCUGACGCAGCCACGCCGCGUGAGUGAAGAAGGCC
RNAcentral lists this ribosomal RNA (400 nucleotides) under uncultured bacterium. Its description in RNAcentral is "bacterial SSU rRNA". It matches the Rfam family "Bacterial small subunit ribosomal RNA", at positions 29 to 416 of the family's 1533-position model. The record is from RNAcentral.